RNAcentral lists this ribosomal RNA (253 nucleotides) under uncultured bacterium. RNAcentral describes it as "partial 16S ribosomal RNA". It matches the Rfam family "Bacterial small subunit ribosomal RNA", at positions 524 to 776 of the family's 1533-position model. The record is from RNAcentral.
UACGAGGGGGGCGAGCGUUGUUCGGAAUUAUUGGGCGUAAAGGGUGCGUAGGCGGUUUUGUAAGUCUUAUGUGAAAUCUAUGGGCUCAACUCAUAGACUGCAUGAGAAACUGCAGGGCUUGAGUAUGGGAGAGGUGAGUGGAAUUCCUGGUGUAGCGGUGAAAUGCGUAGAUAUCUGGAGGAACACCGGUGGCGAAGGCGGCAUCCUGGACCAACACUGACGCUGAGGAGCGAAAGCCAGGGGAGCAAACGGG